CAGUAGCCACGGUAAUACAGAGGGUGCGAGCGUUAAUCGGAUUUUCUGGGCGUAAAGCGUGCGUAGGCGGCUAAUUGAGUCGGAUGUGAAAUCCCUGAGCUUAACUUAGGAAUUGCAUUCGAUACUGGGAAGCUAGAGUAUGGGAGAGGAUGGUAGAAUUCCAGGUGUAGCGGUGAAAUGCGUAGAGAUCUGGAGGAAUACCGAUGGCGAAGGCAGCCAUCUGGCCUAAUACUGACGCUGAGGUACGAAAGCAUGGGGAGCAAACAGGAUUAGAUACCCCUGUAGUCCCUGUCUCUUAUAC
This 301-nucleotide ribosomal RNA is filed under the name uncultured bacterium. RNAcentral describes it as "partial 16S ribosomal RNA". It matches the Rfam family "Bacterial small subunit ribosomal RNA", at positions 509 to 807 of the family's 1533-position model. The record is from RNAcentral.